This 492-nucleotide ribosomal RNA is filed under the name uncultured bacterium. RNAcentral describes it as "partial 16S ribosomal RNA". It matches the Rfam family "Bacterial small subunit ribosomal RNA", at positions 29 to 507 of the family's 1533-position model. The record is from RNAcentral.
AGUGAACGCCGGCGGUAGGCCUAACACAUGCAAGUCGAACGGCAGCACAGUAAGAGCUUGCUCUUACGGGUGGCGAGUGGCGGACGGGUGAGGAAUACAUCGGAAUCUACUUUUUCGUGGGGGAUAACGUAGGGAAACUUACGCUAAUACCGCAUACGACCUACGGGUGAAAGCAGGGGAUCUUCGGACCUUGCGCGAUUGAAUGAGCCGAUGUCGGAUUAGCUAGUUGGCGGGGUAUAGGCCCACCAAGGCGACGAUCCGUAGCUGGUCUGAGAGGAUGAUCAGCCACACUGGAACUGAGACACGGUCCAGACUCCUACGGGAGGCAGCAGUGGGGAAUAUUGGACAAUGGGCGCAAGCCUGAUCCAGCCAUACCGCGUGGGUGAAGAAGGCCUUCGGGUUGUAAAGCCCUUUUGUUGGGAAAGAAAAGCAGCAGGUUAAUACCCCGCUGUUCUGACGGUACCCAAAGAAUAAGCACCGGCUAACUUCGUG